GGAGCAGCCCAGAGCCUGAAUCAGUGUGUGUGUUAGUGGAAGCGUCUGGAAAGGCGUGCGAUACAGGGUGACAGCCCCGUACACAAAAAUGCACAUACUGUGAGCUCGAUGAGUAGGGCGGGACACGUGGUAUCCUGUCUGAAUAUGGGGGGACCAUCCUCCAAGGCUAAAUACUCCUGACUGACCGAUAGUGAACCAGUACCGUGAGGGAAAGGCGAAAAGAACCCCGGCGAGGGGAGUGAAAAAGAACCUGAAACCGUGUACGUACAAGCAGUGGGAGCACGCUUAGGCGUGUGACUGCGUACCUUUUGUAUAAUGGGUCAGCGACUUAUAUUCUGUAGCAAGGUUAACCGAAUAGGGGAGCCGAAGGGAAACCGAGUCUUAACUGGGCGUUAAGUUGCAGGGUAUAGACCCGAAACCCGGUGAUCUAGCCAUGGGCAGGUUGAAGGUUGGGUAACACUAACUGGAGGACCGAACCGACUAAUGUUGAAAAAUUAGCGGAUGACUUGUGGCUGGGGGUGAAAGGCCAAUCAAACCGGGAGAUAGCUGGUUCUCCCCGAAAGCUAUUUAGGUAGCGCCUCGUGAAUUCAUCUCCGGGGGUAGAGCACUGUUUCGGCAAGGGGGUCAUCCCGACUUACCAACCCGAUGCAAACUGCGAAUACCGGAGAAUGUUAUCACGGGAGACACACGGCGGGUGCUAACGUCCGUCGUGAAGAGGGAAACAACCCAGACCGCCAGCUAAGGUCCCAAAGUCAUGGUUAAGUGGGAAACGAUGUGGGAAGGCCCAGACAGCCAGGAUGUUGGCUUAGAAGCAGCCAUCAUUUAAAGAAAGCGUAAUAGCUCACUGGUCGAGUCGGCCUGCGCGGAAGAUGUAACGGGGCUAAACCAUGCACCGAAGCUGCGGCAGCGACGCUUAUGCGUUGUUGGGUAGGGGAGCGUUCUGUAAGCCUGUGAAGGUGUGCUGUGAGGUAUGCUGGAGGUAUCAGAAGUGCGAAUGCUGACAUAAGUAACGAUAAAGCGGGUGAAAAGCCCGCUCGCCGGAAGACCAAGGGUUCCUGUCCAACGUUAAUCGGGGCAGGGUGAGUCGACCCCUAAGGCGAGGCCGAAAGGCGUAGUCGAUGGGAAACAGGUUAAUAUUCCUGUACUUGGUGUUACUGCGAAGGGGGGACGGAGAAGGCUAUGUUGGCCGGGCGACGGUUGUCCCGGUUUAAGCGUGUAGGCUGGUUUUCCAGGCAAAUCCGGAAAAUCAAGGCCGAGGCGUGAUGACGAGGCACUACGGUGCUGAAGCAACAAAUGCCCUGCUUCCAGGAAAAGCCUCUAAGCAUCAGGUAACAUCAAAUCGUACCCCAAACCGACACAGGUGGUCAGGUAGAGAAUACCAAGGCGCUUGAGAGAACUCGGGUGAAGGAACUAGGCAAAAUGGUGCCGUAACUUCGGGAGAAGGCACGCUGAUACGUAGGUGAAGCGACUUGCUCGUGGAGCUGAAAUCAGUCGAAGAUACCAGCUGGCUGCAACUGUUUAUUAAAAACACAGCACUGUGCAAACACGAAAGUGGACGUAUACGGUGUGACGCCUGCCCGGUGCCGGAAGGUUAAUUGAUGGGGUUAGCGCAAGCGAAGCUCUUGAUCGAAGCCCCGGUAAACGGCGGCCGUAACUAUAACGGUCCUAAGGUAGCGAAAUUCCUUGUCGGGUAAGUUCCGACCUGCACGAAUGGCGUAAUGAUGGCCAGGCUGUCUCCACCCGAGACUCAGUGAAAUUGAACUCGCUGUGAAGAUGCAGUGUACCCGCGGCAAGACGGAAAGACCCCGUGAACCUUUACUAUAGCUUGACACUGAACAUUGAGCCUUGAUGUGUAGGAUAGGUGGGAGGCUUUGAAGUGUGGACGCCAGUCUGCAUGGAGCCGACCUUGAAAUACCACCCUUUAAUGUUUGAUGUUCUAACGUGGACCCGUGAUCCGGGUUGCGGACAGUGUCUGGUGGGUAGUUUGACUGGGGCGGUCUCCUCCUAAAGAGUAACGGAGGAGCACGAAGGUUGGCUAAUCCUGGUCGGACAUCAGGAGGUUAGUGCAAUGGCAUAAGCCAGCUUGACUGCGAGCGUGACGGCGCGAGCAGGUGCGAAAGCAGGUCAUAGUGAUCCGGUGGUUCUGAAUGGAAGGGCCAUCGCUCAACGGAUAAAAGGUACUCCGGGGAUAACAGGCUGAUACCGCCCAAGAGUUCAUAUCGACGGCGGUGUUUGGCACCUCGAUGUCGGCUCAUCACAUCCUGGGGCUGAAGUAGGUCCCAAGGGUAUGGCUGUUCGCCAUUUAAAGUGGUACGCGAGCUGGGUUUAGAACGUCGUGAGACAGUUCGGUCCCUAUCUGCCGUGGGCGCUGGAGAACUGAGGGGGGCUGCUCCUAGUACGAGAGGACCGGAGUGGACGCAUCACUGGUGUUCGGGUUGUCAUGCCAAUGGCACUGCCCGGUAGCUAAAUGCGGAAGAGAUAAGUGCUGAAAGCAUCUAAGCACGAAACUUGC
RNAcentral lists this ribosomal RNA (2512 nucleotides) under Shigella flexneri. RNAcentral's name for it is "partial 23S ribosomal RNA". It matches the Rfam family "Bacterial large subunit ribosomal RNA", at positions 294 to 2797 of the family's 2925-position model. The record is from RNAcentral. Lineage: Bacteria; Pseudomonadati; Pseudomonadota; Gammaproteobacteria; Enterobacterales; Enterobacteriaceae.